Molecule: long non-coding RNA, 1550 nt
Organism: Juglans microcarpa x Juglans regia
Lineage: Eukaryota; Viridiplantae; Streptophyta; Magnoliopsida; Fagales; Juglandaceae
Exons: 2
Source: RefSeq, a predicted model, not a curated record
ACCCGCCAGUGAUGUACUCAUUCUAAAGAAAUGUUCCAAAAUGAUCUAUCAGUUUAUGGAAAACUUCAGCUAAUGAAUUCAUUUCAAGUCAAUGAGUAAAUCUUAUCUAUCUUUGGCGCAUGAAAAAAAUCAACAAGCUCCUGCUCCAUCGAGAAAAAGAAUUCAGUCCACAAAAAGGGUCAGUUCCGGUAAACAGUAAAAUAAACAACCUAUGAUCAUCAAGGUCACUGUCUCCGUGCAAGUUCGCUCACGGGGCCGGUGCCGGACUACUUCUCCCGUCGCAAUAACCAUUCCCAUGUACCCACGUGUAACAACAUGCCAAAACCUUGUAAUUUAUUUGUGUAACGACUCGAAACCAUUGUGGUUGGUAAGGCGGCGACGGUCGGCGCCGUUAAAAUAUUAAGACCUUAAUGUCGGUACCCAUACUGCCGAUCAGCCGAGAACAAAAAAUGGUGAAAAACACGUGCAGAGACCCUCUGACCUGCCGCUGUGAGAUCCACCUCAGCUGCAGUGCAGUAUAUCAAUCUCCAUACCCCCGACGCCAACCACCUAAUCCACCCGACUACUCAUCAUAAUAUCAUUGCCGCACGAAUCCAACGGCCAAUCAAAUUUAAGUCCUAGUAGAAACAUGCAAUCAUAUUAUCAUCCACGCCUGAAAGUGAAAGUGAGCACACAGUGAAGGCCCAUCCAAGUCUGGAAUAGUAUAUGAACAAUGACGUCAACGCACCGCCUUUGAUAAAUUAAUUAAUAUUAUAUUAUAUAUACACACAGAGAGAGAGAUAGAGAGACCCAUCUUAAAACCUCUCUCGCUUUAACAAGUAAGUCCAAGGCUACGCCUCUGGUAGGAUCCACCCUUGAUUCCUUGAACAAAAGGACUUGGUCUUCGUUGCCGCAAACAGAGACUUCGUUUCAUCUCUGCGUCGGCCGUUGCGCAAACAGAGACUUCGUUGAUUCGUUUGCGGAGAAAGAAAGAGCUCUUUGUGGUGGUAAAAACGAUCGAGAGAUGAUGGUUGAGUUAUUUCUUCUUGGAUGUACUGGGAUUGUAUUGUUUCUCCACGGUGCUAAUUUCAUUUUUCAUGUUCUUUCCAAACAUGUCGCCGUCCGAUCACUCAGUUUCUUGGGAUUUGUUGGAUGGUAGAGCAAAGCGGGAAUCAAGAAUGAGGCGAUUAAUAAUUCAUCAAGCUACGUUUUUUAGUUUUUGAAUAGCAAAAAAAUUGGGAUCUGCAGGGUCCUGAUCUCCGUGACAGCGCCCAGAUGGUUUAGCCUUGGCGUGAAGGAUGGAGAACAUUGCCUAUCCAAAGCGCAACUUUUAUUUACUUGUUUUUUUAAAAUUUUGUUGAGAUAGGAGUAGUUAGCAGCUUGGACAUGCCGUGACGCGCGCAUUGUAUAUAUUAUUACAUUAUGUUUCAGAAAGCUCAGGGGGAAAUAAAGUUUGAAAUAAAUGGGAAGCUGGCUUUAGUUGAGCCAAACCAUCUUGUAAUCCCUGAAUAAUUACUUCUAAUCUUCGAACAUGAACGCUAGAAUAGUUCAAACUUCAGUCCAUUCUUCAA